GAGCACGUAGGUGGGUUUGUAAGUCAGAUGUGAAAGCCUCCUGUUCAACGGGAGAAUUGCAUCUGAAACUGCGAAUCUUGAGUGUAGGAGGGGAGAAUGGAACUUCUGGUGGAGCGGUGAAAUGCGUAGAUAUCAGAAGGAACGCCGGCGGCGAAAGCGAUUCUCUGGCCUAUUACUGACACUCAGUGUGCGAAAGCUAGGGGAGCAAACGGGAUUAGAUACCCCGGUAGUCCUAGCCGUAAACGAUGGGCACUAAGUAGAGGGGUUUU
Molecule: ribosomal RNA, 269 nt
Filed under: uncultured bacterium
Lineage: Bacteria
Description: partial 16S ribosomal RNA
Rfam family: Bacterial small subunit ribosomal RNA
Source: RNAcentral